CCACGUAAUAUGCAAUAUCUGGCUGCAUAGUUGCUGUUUGCCCGCCAUAUUAUAGAGGCGUAUAAUACACCCAACUAAUAAACCGCAGUUUUCAACAUUCGAAUCGCGUGUUCGAUUCGUGAUGUGUACCCAUGCGUUUUCUCGAUAGCGCGCGUACCGCGAACGCGAUAAAAAAUAUUCGACUUUGCCGCGGACAAUUUAAUAGCUAGGCCCGCGAACCUGUUACGAAAAUAUAGCGGUGACGUUUUUGCAAAAUGAAACCGGCUGUGGCGAACCGACGACGAGUCCGAAGUCGAAGUUGUUAAGCAGUUGUUAUAAAAUUUAAAAAAAAAAAAUCAUAAACCCGCGACGAUAUUAUAGGUAUUAUUAUAUUAUCGUUGCGUCCGAUCAUUUUAAAUACAACGGCAAACGGAGAACUGGUAAUAGACCCCAAAAUAACGGAAUCCUAUAUAGGGACGAAUCCACCUCGAAGCACCCGGUCUACAUUAAACAGAUACUGCGUACAGGCCAUGGACGGUGUGAGGCUGUCUUACGUAGACGGGAAUUUCAAAAUGACCCAGUCUCUACUGCGGUUACUGUGUCAGCGGGGAACAAACAAUAACGAACAAUAUAUUGCAACAACAGAAUGCCAUCAGAGGAGAAAACUCAACCGGGGAUUUAAGGGACGACAUUCAGUGACCCCAAAAGCAAUAAACUGGAUUUCGGAUCUCGACAUACAGCUACAGCAAGUCAUAAAACACAAAUAUAUUAGGAUUUUUUUUUUUAUAUUUUACUUAUAGCUAAGUUGAAGCCGCACGAAAUACAUCUUUUUCUUUUUCUGUAUUUUCAUAUAAAAUAGUAAUAGACCACGAAAUAUCGAAAACCAAGUGACGCGUAUGUACAGAACUUACAGUGGCAGAUCCGAUGGGAAGGAGGGAAAGACCAUUUGCAACAGUUAAACGCGAUAUAUAUUUUGCAACAAUAAAAUAAAAACCAUACUGUAUACUACGGUUUUUUCUUUAUUAUUCAAAGGGGGGAAUUUUUCAUUGCUCUCUCCUUACCUUACCUCAGAAAUGCAUCACUGUACAAAACACAAAACACGCGAUAUCACGGGAAAAUUUAUCGGGACAAAGUGGAAAUUUAAGUAUCGUGGUUCAUCUUAAAAUAAUUUAUAGUUAAAAUGUUCAAAUAAAACUGUACAACGAUAUCCC
Molecule: non-coding RNA, 1190 nt
Organism: Cinara cedri
Lineage: Eukaryota; Metazoa; Arthropoda; Insecta; Hemiptera; Aphididae
Source: the annotation of a GenBank genome assembly